This 253-nucleotide ribosomal RNA is filed under the name uncultured bacterium. Its description in RNAcentral is "partial 16S ribosomal RNA". It matches the Rfam family "Bacterial small subunit ribosomal RNA", at positions 524 to 776 of the family's 1533-position model. The record is from RNAcentral.
GACGAACCGAGCGAACGUUGUUCGGAAUCACUGGGCUUAAAGGGCGCGUAGGCGGGUGCUCAAGUCUGUGGUGAAAUCCUCCAGCUUAACUGGAGAACUGCCACGGAUACUGGGUGUCUUGAGGAACGUAGGGGUAUGCGGAACGAUUGGUGGAGCGGUGAAAUGCGUUGAUAUCAAUCGGAACUCCGGUGGCGAAGGCGGCAUACUGGACGUUAUCUGACGCUGAGGCGCGAAAGCCAGGGGAGCAAACGGG